This 1800-nucleotide long non-coding RNA is filed under the name Triticum aestivum (bread wheat). RNAcentral describes it as "long non-coding RNA (TAES_LNC005337)". The record is from RNAcentral. Lineage: Eukaryota; Viridiplantae; Streptophyta; Magnoliopsida; Poales; Poaceae.
ACACAUACACAUGAACUGAUGACAAACUUGCACACGACCUGACAAACAGGAAAAUACAUUAAUAGACAAAAAGAAUGCAAUACACAUGAAUUGAUAAUCCCCAUGGCUAAUGGCAGAGCUUUUUCGCAUCUAGGUUCACCCGUUUACUGAAAGUAGAACUUCUCAGUUUGGGAUGAUGUUUAAAUGUUCACCAUUUUGGCCUACAUCAGAAUACUGAGAACAAAACAAUAUUUGCUUAUUAAAGCAUAACACACAACACCUCUUGUGCUAUAGGAGAACACAUAAACAAAGGGGAAAUUGGACAUAGAAUCGCCAAGUAGGUGAACUGAAAAGCACACAUAACAUGUACUGAAAAAGAACACAACAUCCUUAGUGUUGCGUCGACCACAUGUGGCAAAGGUGAACGGCUUGCGGUGGUAGAGGUGAACAUCCUGAUCCCAGCAUCGUCGCAUGACCUUGUGUGGUGGAAGUGAAUGGCUUGUGGUGGCAAGGGUGAACGGCUUGAGUGUUGCGUCAUCGAACGACCUUGUAUGGAAGCAGCGAACGGCCUGGGCCUUGAAGGUUCAAGCAGUGGUGUUGAGAGGCUGUGUGGGACUGUAUUUGUAGUGUCUGAAUAAGUUCAGUAGCUGCUCACCAUGCACACCUACUCAACUGCUUCAUGCCACCGUCCCUGCACACACACAACAGCCACCAAUUAGCAUGCACAAGUUCAUGUAAAAAGAACAACAAUUUCAUGUACAGUAAUAUUACAUGUUCACAACGAAACCUAAAAAUAUGUGUACUUUGAAAUACUUCAUUUUACUUCCCAAAUACUUCAUUUGUUUUUGAAAUAUGAACUUUUAUAUUUAUUUCCGUAGAACUUAUUAUGUUUUCCCUCCAAACUACAAGAACAUGAUUGGUUUGCUUACCCAAAAAAUAUUUUAUUCAAAUACUUUUCUGUUCUUAUAAGCGAACUGAUGGAAAUCUUGACGGUGCACUUCGGUAUUUUAUUCCAGGUGCACUGAUGUAAUUACAAAGUUAACUCAGUGUGUUCCUUUUUGCAUAGUGAACCUAUGUAGACUCUAUACAAUGUAAAAUGGACAUUGUUGUGAUUACCUACAUGGCUGAACUAGUUAAUAUAUUUGCUUUUUCGUUGUGUAUUUCUGUUUAAUUAGACAAAUGGUUUGAUUAGUGGUAUUACCACCACAAUUUUCACUAUAUAUACAUUAUUGAUCUGAACGCGACAAUAAGAAUAGGCUGCCGAUUUUUUCUGUAAAGUCGCAUGCCGAAAAUGUAGAGAUUAGGGAAGUACCAGGACACAAACUAAUUUAUUUAGGAAGUAAUUAGAAUAAAGAGAUUUUUAGGAGUACUUAGGGAGUGAAUGCAAGCUUAUUUAGAACAUGCUAUCAAGAAUUCAGCGAGGGGAAUGGAUGUUCUUCAAGAGAAUUCAGGGAAGAGAGCGAGGAGAAACCUUGGCGGCAGCAAUCUGAAGUUGCGGCGACAAAUAUGACAAUGGCCUUGACCUCAUCGGAGCAUAGGGACUAGGCCAACGAACUCAUGGCAUUGUAUGUAGAAAAAGACAUAUUGUGAGUUGCUAUCUAUUGCUAAUGGUACGAUGCUGCUAUUGCUCUGUGUCAUGUUAUGCAAGUUGACACCGAGUACACGUUGGAUGAUAUACUUAGACAGUAAAGAGCUAAAAAUGAUUUCUUCUAGUUUAGGUAAACGGAGAUGCCAACUUUCUCCAUUUAGUUACUUCUAGCUCCCAGCAAAAUUCGUAAAAUGGAAGGCAGAUAGGUCUAGCUACUCUAUUAUGAAGCUCAC